AGCUUUGCGCAGAGGCGAUAACGUGACCAAUGAGGCUCUGCCGAGGUACGUUUAUUGCUGGUUGGCAAUGAAAGUUGAAGCCGCGGUAAGUUUUGAAAGUUCUUAACAA
Molecule: non-coding RNA, 109 nt
Organism: Oesophagostomum dentatum (nodular worm)
Lineage: Eukaryota; Metazoa; Nematoda; Chromadorea; Rhabditida; Strongylidae
Source: Rfam